CUCUGGGUCUCCCAUGACCUGGCCGCUGGUCCACACCUUCCUCCCUCACAUUCUUAGCUACUCUGUGUCACAAUCACUGAUCUCCUGGACCCAGGCUGACUCCUAGGGAGGUGCCUCUGUAUUCCUGGCAAGAAGUGGCUGUUGCAUCUUGGAGACAACAAAAAAGGUGCAUUCUCAUCAGGUGACUGGGCAUUGAGUUGAGCUAACAUCCUGACAGCAAAUUGGUCAGUCUAUCAACCCAUUCAACUGGUACCCAAACAGGGACUUUUAUGCAUUUAUGGCCAGAUUGAAGAAGGUGACCUAGAAGGGAAUCCAUAGGAGAGGAGAGACAGCAGUGGACUUCGAGGAACUACAGGGAUGCCCAAAUGAGGGAGCCAGCAUGACAUAGAGGAACCAAGACGGACCACCAUCUAGAUGCAAUGCAGCCUCUACUUGCCCUGAUUCAGCUUCUGCAACUUCAAAAACAGAAAGGAGGAACUGCAGGAGACCAGCUUGAAAUGGCAAACCAGGUUCCAGAUCUUGUGUUCAAAAAUGCAAACAAGGAGACUUUCAAAGAUGAACGAAGUCCUGUAGAAAGCACUCAGGAGCCAGAACAAGAGCUCUUUUUGUUUUGGUACUGGAAUCAAACUCAGGGUCUUGCACUUGCCAGAAGGACCAUGUCACUGGAUAACCUGGUGCCUCCGGUUGAUGAAGAUUGUCCCCAACAGCAUAUGUGAAAGACAGAGAUCUGACUGCUGCUCUAUAAUUUCCAUUAUAUCACAGAUUGGAGGUGAGGCUGCAGUAAGAGGACUCAGCAUAUGCCACUGACUUGGCCUUGGCCUUUCAAGCCUCCCAAACAGCUCAGAGGUAGUAAAUGUGAGAGUUGGGUUUCACAACCAUCUGAAGGAGACCAAAAUCCCUUUCCAUGGGCUGACACUGUGCAGCUGCGGCACCAGACACCACAGGAGCUUGGAAGAGAAAUGUCUUCCCCUGAGGAUCUCUACGGGAUGUGGUUUUGCACCAUGGGGAAUGUUUGCCAAUAUCUGAAGGGAGAUCACACAAAAUGACUGUCAUUUUACCAACAAAUGUGAAGGUCUAGAUGAAAUUGCUGCUUUUCUAAGAAGUAUAAGUUUAAAAAAUUGAAAAAUAAAUUGAAAACCUGAAUAGACCAAUAAUCACCAAAAAAUUUAAGUGUGUUAUCAAAGAUUUACUUCUAAAAAAUGUGUACUGCCCCGGUGAGUUAACAGGUAUGUCCUUUCUAUCUGACCUUCAAAGCAUAGAGGGCUCCUAUGUUAUGUAAAUUAUUGCUGAAUAUGAAAAGAUGGAACUCUUUCCAGUUUAUUUUAGAAAACUAUCAAUUUCAUAUACCAAAUCUGAUAUAGAUAGCACAAAAAUAAAACAUACAUCAUUUUAGAAAACUAGCAUAUUUCUUAUGCCAAAUCUGAUAUAGAUAGCACAAAAAUAGAACAUAGAUGAAUUUAAUGUCUGAAUAUGGUGGUUUCUUAAGCAAUGAGACUUUCAUAGAAUUUCUGUGCCAAAUAAUCCAAAAUUUCUUACUUUUUCCUCAUAAACUCUGCAUUCCCAUGCUCAGAUGUGAAAGAAAGUUAAAGGAGCAGGAAGUGAAUUUGAAACUUACGAAAAGCCCGAGGCAGAAGUACCGGGGAAGCCAUCCUAGAGAUGUUCAACCACCGAGCAACAUCUCUGGCCCUGUAUUUUAUUCUCUUUUGAGACAGGAUCUUGCUAAGUUGCCCAGGCUGGCCUCAAACUUGUUACCUUCUUUCCUCAGCCUCUUGAGUAGCUACGAUUACAGGUUCUAAAAAGCCUUCGAAGCUAAAGUUCAUGACAAGUAUUGGAAUGUGCACUGAUGAAUCUUUAGGAAAGAGGAGAUAACAGAGACUUGAGAAUUCUCACAUGGCCACACCUAGACUGUCUUCAUGCUGCUAACAAAGGACACCACUUACUUUUAUGAAUGAGUCACCCUCGUGGGGCUUCUGCUAUCCUCUGGCCCCUUUCAUUUCUCCUUGUUAAUUUCUAGUAUCUGGAAAUAAGGUAAUAAAUUAAAAAUGGCUCAAA
This is a non-coding RNA of Heterocephalus glaber (naked mole-rat), 2052 nucleotides long. NCBI's taxonomy places the organism in Eukaryota, Metazoa, Chordata, Mammalia, Rodentia, Bathyergidae. The record is from RefSeq and is a predicted model, not a curated record.